RNAcentral lists this long non-coding RNA (661 nucleotides) under Gallus gallus (chicken). The record is from RNAcentral. Lineage: Eukaryota; Metazoa; Chordata; Aves; Galliformes; Phasianidae.
GGGGGCUUUGGGGUGGUCCCGGUGUGGGAUGGGGACACAGAAGUGGUCUCUUCUCCACCUCCCCGGGGGGGUGAGGGGAGCAUCGCCCCGAGCUCAGAUCAGCGUUUGGUAGGCGCUGUCCUUGGACUUGAUGAACUUGAGGAUGAAGAAGAGGACGGCCUGCACGCUGAGCACCAGCACCAUGCCGCCCACAAAGCUGGCCGUGUCGAAGCCCGGAGGCUGGAACUCGGGGCUGCCCGUCAGCGGGGCGUGCGUGGUGCUGCUCCGUGGGGAACGCGUUGCCGGCUCCCUGCUAGGGGACCGCGGUGGCUCUUUGGUGGGGGAUUUCAGUGCUGGGCACAGGGCACUGCUGUUGUAGAGCACACAUUUGUCCCGCGCAGCCGCCCCGCUGUGCAUGCAGCUCCACGUUUCCGGUGCCCCACAGCCCCCCCAGAGGCAUUCGGUGCCGUUGGGUGCCGGAGGAGCGGCGGUGCACAGCUCGCAGGACAGCAGCUCACUGCAUUCUGCGCGGGUGGCGGCGGAUCCCUGAGCGCACCGCACCGCGCACAGCACCGCGCACAGCACCGCGCAGCGCAGCGCUCCGCCGCACGGGGGGGUCAUGGCCCGGCCCGGCCCGGCCCGCUUCGUUCCGUUCGGUCCCGCGGCGGCGGCGGAGCUCCCG